UACAAAGUGACUAAUGGGUGGAUAAUGUAUACGGCAUGGAUGCCUAGACACAAGGAUGAUUCAUGUCCUGAGGAAGAUGAGUGGGAUGCCUUGUGAUUUCAUUACCCUACUCAGAAUAGUAGACAACUUAAAAUUUACAGAUGGUUUACUUCUGGAAUUCUCAGAGAGUGAAGCAGUGGAUAAAGGGGGAUUACUGUGUCUCCAGGUUAGAGAGAGAUAUAACAAUUACAUGCAGCAUAAGAAGUGCUAUAUGAUGUAA
Molecule: long non-coding RNA, 259 nt
Filed under: Chinchilla lanigera (long-tailed chinchilla)
Lineage: Eukaryota; Metazoa; Chordata; Mammalia; Rodentia; Chinchillidae
Description: lncRNA (ENSCLAG00000022980.1)
Source: RNAcentral